Molecule: ribosomal RNA, 440 nt
Filed under: uncultured bacterium
Lineage: Bacteria
Description: partial 16S ribosomal RNA
Rfam family: Bacterial small subunit ribosomal RNA
Source: RNAcentral
CCUACGGGAGGCUGCAGUAGGGAAUAUUGCUCAAUGGGGGAAACCCUGAAGCAGCAACGCCGCGUGGGGGAUGAAGGUUUUCGGAUUGUAAACCCCUUUUGUUAGAGAAGAUAAUGACGGUAUCUAACGAAUAAGCACUGGCUAACUCCGUGCCAGCAGCCGCGGUAACACGGAGGGUGCAAGCGUUACUCGGAAUCACUGGGCGUAAAGAGCGCGUAGGCGGGUUAGCAAGUCAGAUGUGAAAGCCUAGGGCUUAACCGUAGAACUGCAUUUGAAACUGGUAUACUAGAGUAUGGGAGAGGUAGGUGGAAUUCGUGGUGUAGGGGUGAAAUGCGUAGAGAUCAAGAGGAAUACUCAUUGCGAAGGCGACCUGCUAGAACGUAACUGACGCUGAUGCGCGAAAGCGUGGGGAGCAAACAGGAUUAGAUACCCCUGUAGUC